UAGGGAAUCUUCCACAAUGGGCGAAAGCCUGAUGGAGCAACGCCGCGUGAGUGAUGAAGGCAUUCGGGUUGUAAAACUCUGUCAUUCGGGACGAACCGGAGUCUGAGGAAAUGCAGACUCUCUGACGGUACCGGAGGAGGAAGCCCCGGCUAACUACGUGCCAGCAGCCGCGGUACUACGUAGGGGGCAAGCGUUGUCCGGAUUCACUGGGCGUAAAGCGCGCGCAGGCGGUGAUGUAAGUCUGAGGUGAAAACCCGAAGCUCAACUUCGGGACUGCCUUGGAUACUGCGUCACUUGAGGAUAGGAGAGGCGAGAGGAAUUCCACGGGUAGCGGUGAAAUGCGGAGAGUUGUGGAGGAACACCUGUGGCGAAGGCGCAUUGCUGGCCUAUUUCUAACGAUGAGGCGCGAAAGCGUGGGGAGCAAACAGG
Molecule: ribosomal RNA, 429 nt
Filed under: Actinomycetes bacterium
Lineage: Bacteria; Bacillati; Actinomycetota; Actinomycetes
Description: Actinobacteria bacterium partial 16S ribosomal RNA
Rfam family: Bacterial small subunit ribosomal RNA
Source: RNAcentral